Molecule: long non-coding RNA, 500 nt
Organism: Ictalurus furcatus (blue catfish)
Lineage: Eukaryota; Metazoa; Chordata; Actinopteri; Siluriformes; Ictaluridae
Exons: 5
Source: RefSeq, a predicted model, not a curated record
CUCCUUCAAGGGCUAUUGUCGGUCUUUUUUGUCUGCUCUGUACAUGUAGUAGUUGCUUCAAAGCGUGCAAAUGGAUUCCUCUGACUACAAGCAGCCAGGCACAGAGUUGAUUGCAAGGGUUUUGUGCUGUGUGUGUAAUGAAGACUGCUAUCUCACAAGGAUUCAGCAAUGUCCUGGGUGACUAUUUGCUCAUGCUGCUUUGCCCUGAUUGAGGAAACUGAAUAUUAGUGUAGUAAUCCUGUCCUGUAUGGAUUACUGGUACAAGCCUUCCACCUUCAAGCUGGACUACUAGGCAUCUUGUACAUCACACAAAAUGUAGUGUGGAGAAGCAAUAUCAAGAAACAGAGGGAAUGGACACUAGCUCCAAGACAGCAUGGCCCUAUGCUGAAACCCAGGAGGAGUUUCGACCAAGAUGUCCACCUGUUCCUGCAACAGAAGAGCUUUGUUCACACACUGCUACUUCUCUAACUUCAGACAAUAAAUAUCUGCAAAUAUGCUUA